This 834-nucleotide ribosomal RNA is filed under the name Streptomyces sp. Its description in RNAcentral is "bacterial SSU rRNA". It matches the Rfam family "Bacterial small subunit ribosomal RNA", at positions 81 to 927 of the family's 1533-position model. The record is from RNAcentral. Lineage: Bacteria; Bacillati; Actinomycetota; Actinomycetes; Kitasatosporales; Streptomycetaceae.
GUCGGUGGGGAUUAGUGGCGAACGGGUGAGUAACACGUGGGCAAUCUGCCCUUCACUCUGGGACAAGCCCUGGAAACGGGGUCUAAUACCGGAUAGCACUACCGCAGGCAUCUGUGGUGGUUGAAAGCUCCGGCGGUGAAGGAUGAGCCCGCGGCCUAUCAGCUUGUUGGUGAGGUAAUGGCUCACCAAGGCGACGACGGGUAGCCGGCCUGAGAGGGCGACCGGCCACACUGGGACUGAGACACGGCCCAGACUCCUACGGGAGGCAGCAGUGGGGAAUAUUGCACAAUGGGCGAAAGCCUGAUGCAGCGACGCCGCGUGAGGGAUGACGGCCUUCGGGUUGUAAACCUCUUUCAGCAGGGAAGAAGCGAAAGUGACGGUACCUGCAGAAGAAGCGCCGGCUAACUACGUGCCAGCAGCCGCGGUAAUACGUAGGGCGCAAGCGUUGUCCGGAAUUAUUGGGCGUAAAGAGCUCGUAGGCGGCUUGUCACGUCGGGUGUGAAAGCCCGGGGCUUAACCCCGGGUCUGCAUUCGAUACGGGCUAGCUAGAGUGUGGUAGGGGAGAUCGGAAUUCCUGGUGUAGCGGUGAAAUGCGCAGAUAUCAGGAGGAACACCGGUGGCGAAGGCGGAUCUCUGGGCCAUUACUGACGCUGAGGAGCGAAAGCGUGGGGAGCGAACAGGAUUAGAUACCCUGGUAGUCCACGCCGUAGACGGUGGGAACUAGGUGUUGGCGACAUUCCACGUCGUCGGUGCCGCAGCUAACGCAUUAAGUUCACCGCCUGGGGAGUACGGCCGCAAGGCUAAAACUCCAAGGAAUUGACGAGGGCCCGCACA